UUUAAGUACUGAAGGUACAUCUGCGUUCUUAUAUAAAGAGAAUAAGAUCCCUUCACCCCCCAGAACCAAGCUGGCCCCGUGGGAACAGUGUGGCCCCGCCAAGAAGGCAUGAUCUCAUUCAUUCAUUCAUUCAUCCACCCAAACACGCAGCAAGAUGCACCUCUGGGCACCGGGGCGCUGCCCUGAGCAGAGCAGGUGGCCCAGGUCCGCAUGGAGAAGACACUGCGGUGGGACAGUGGACAGAGACAGACCUCGGGGUGAAUAUGAACCACAUCUGAUGCAGGGCGGUGCCAUGGAGACGAUAAAGCAGAAUAACGGGAGGGGGCACCAGGGCUGGGUUCCAGGGAGGCCAGGAGGCCAGAGAAGGCCUGGCUGAUGAGGUGAUGUUUGAGCUGAAGUUAGCAGGAGGAGAGGGAGCUACCUGGGGUUUGGGGUGACAGGAUGCUGCAGGCAGAGGGAACAGCUGGUUCCAGAUCCUUCUCUACCCAGUGCUGGGUCACACAGCUCCUGACACACAUCUGAGGACCUGUGGCCCCUGAGGAGACAGCAGGGUAUCAGCGCAGAAAGGCUCUGGGUUUUCAGAGUGUCCUGAGGGCAGAUGACGUCUGGAAUCCCCAAAGCAGCUCAGGUCUGGGCUGAAUGCAGAGGGGGUGCAGGGGCUCAGUCCUGAACCCCCCCAUCCAGAGUCUGGGAAACUAGGCCCGAGGCUGGGACUUAAAAUGUUUUUAGAUACUGUUUCCUGGGCAUAGACAUGCACUGUCACCUCACACUCAUGUUUGUUCUUAAACGUAAUUCAUAAAUGGAAUGCAGAUUAUAAAAUACAUUUUACUCCAUUCUCACUCCCUUUCUGACUCUGACAGGGUUUUGUUGCCGCCGCUGUGGUCUGUUGAUUUUGGUGAUCUCCUCUCUCCGAAUUUCCCCUAAGUCAAGGACAGCUGGACUGGUAUUUGCUCUCUGGGUGACCGUGCUGGGUGGAUCCCAAGUUGGACUCAGCGGAGAGGCAUCGCCGGGUCGCGCUGGGGUUGCGAAGCCGGGAACCAGGCGGGAGGCUGCAGCUUUGCCGGGGCGCGUGUCGCCGGGCUGGGCGAGAGGCUCUGUCGGGGUUUCUUGUGGUUGAAACCGCUCAUCAGGGUCAAAGCCGCCCCUUGGGGUCUGCGGGGCUCUUCCUGUCCAGGUGCGGUGGUGAAUUCUGACGGCAGAACGACGGCACUUUCAGGCCCCCGCCAGCGCCGUGGUGUCCGCGGAGCCGCGGACAGUGAGACCGUCCGGGGCGGAGGCGCAGCCUCUCCCUCCUCCCGAGGCGGCUUGGACGCUCCCUCGGCCCUGAGUCCAGUCAGGCCGGUUUCCC
RNAcentral lists this long non-coding RNA (1348 nucleotides) under Sus scrofa (pig). RNAcentral describes it as "lncRNA (ENSSSCG00015003306.1)". The record is from RNAcentral. Lineage: Eukaryota; Metazoa; Chordata; Mammalia; Artiodactyla; Suidae.